UAACUAAUUUCUUAUUCUCAUUUAUUAGGAAGAAAAUAUACACACACAUAGAGAGAUUAUAUUUUUCCUCCUCUACCUAACUCCCCCAUUACACGAUAUUUAUCAUCAACACACUCACAUUUAUAUGGACAUACAUUGCCUAACGAAAAACACACCAUUUUUUUUCAUCUUUUCAAUUUUCCUUUCUGGGGACUAUUAAAAGUCCAAAAGAAAUGCGUCCAUAACGUUCAAAAUGGAGGCAUAUAGGUCAUUUCACGUCUGCCCCACAUUAAAGCCAAAAUUGAAUUACUAUUCUACACUUAAUGAAAAUUUUAAGGGUUUUAGAUUGAAAUUUUUUCAAGUUUCCCUCUAAUAAUUGCUCCUUCCCCAUGUACUCCUAAUCAAUUACCCCAUUCCCUCCCUAUGCACGCUAAAUAAUUGAGGAGUCUUUUCAUAUUCCUUCUUUAUCUUUUAAUCUCUUUUCAAAAAGACAUGUCUUUUUAAUUCCCUUCUUCAUCUCUUAAUCUCUUUUUAAAAAGGCACCCCCCACUUUCUCUUUCCCUAUUUAAUAGUUUCAUAUCUUUUGUUUAAUAACUUAAGCAUGACUAGUCACAUCUAAGAGCAAGAAAAUAGCCAACUUAUUGCAAUUAUGUAUGGCUGACAAUGAUUCAUUGCUUAACAUGGAAGUGAAGUAUGACAGCGAAUAUGUGUUAUUGUUGAAGACCUUUUGUGAUGCUCGGAAUCCCAAAAGACAGUAUUGGAAUUGUCCACUAUAUGGGGCCUCAGGCUUGCAUAUUUUUCCUUUAGAGAGAUCUAGAUAUUUGUCUCUGAUCGCAUUUCUUCAUCUCUAAACUUGUUGCUCAAAUUAAUCAAUUACAACUGUAGUUGGAAUCUCGUAAUAAUGAGGGCGAUCCAAUUGAUUACGAGCAGGCUGCAACCGUUGAGGACGGUGAUGUUCAACCAAAAGAAUGGUAUAAUGUAAAUGUGAAUGUCCAUUCGGAUAAGAAAAAUAGAGAAGGGAGCGCAAAAGUCGAGGUUCUAGAGGAAGAGGGGCGUAGAAGUCCAACUUAGAAGGGUACAUUUGAUUUUACUAUUUUUUUUAAGUUAUGAACUUAUAUUAAUUCAUCUAUUUUUUUAUAAAAUAUUAGUUCAUCUA
This is a long non-coding RNA of Capsicum annuum, 1135 nucleotides long. RefSeq lists it as uncharacterized. The transcript has 2 exons. NCBI's taxonomy places the organism in Eukaryota, Viridiplantae, Streptophyta, Magnoliopsida, Solanales, Solanaceae. The record is from RefSeq and is a predicted model, not a curated record.